AGCGAACGUUAGCGGCGGGCCUAACACAUGCAAGUCGAGCGAGAAAGUGGCUUCGGCCAUCAGUAAAGCGGCGGACGGGUGAGUAACACGUAGGUAAUCUUCCUUCGAGCGGGGGACAACGUUCCGAAAGGGACGCUAAUACCGCAUACGUUUUUUGGGACUCUGGUCCUGAAAAGGAAAGCUAGGUAGCAAUAUCUGGCACUCGAUGAGGAGCCUGCGUCGCAUCAGCUAGUUGGUGGGGUAACGGCCUACCAAGGCGAAGACGCGUAG
Molecule: ribosomal RNA, 270 nt
Filed under: uncultured bacterium
Lineage: Bacteria
Description: partial 16S ribosomal RNA
Rfam family: Bacterial small subunit ribosomal RNA
Source: RNAcentral